Molecule: ribosomal RNA, 514 nt
Filed under: uncultured bacterium
Lineage: Bacteria
Description: partial 16S ribosomal RNA
Rfam family: Bacterial small subunit ribosomal RNA
Source: RNAcentral
GAUGAACGCUGGCGGCGUGCCUAAUACAUGCAAGUCGAGCGAACAGAUGAGAAGCUUGCUUCUCUGAUGUUAGCGGCGGACGGGGGAGUAACACGUGGGUAACCUACCUAUAAGACUGGGAUAACUCCGGGAAACCGGGGCUAAUACCGGAUAAUAUUUUGAACCGCAUGGUUCAAUAGUGAAAGACGGUUUCGGCUGUCACUUAUAGAUGGACCCGCGCCGUAUUAGCUAGUUGGUAAGGUAACGGCUUAACAAGGCGACGAUACGUAGCCGACCUGAGAGGGUGAUCGGCCACACUGGAACUGAGACAAGGUCCAGACUCCGACGGGAGGCAGCAGGAGGGAAUCUUCCGCAAUGGGCGAAAGCCUGACGGAGCAACGCCGCGUGAGUGAUGAAGGUCUUCGGAUCGUAAGACUCUGUUGUUAGGGAAGGACAAAUUUGUUAGUAACUGAACAAGUCUUGACGGUACCUAACCAGAAAGCCACGGCUAACUACGUGCCAGCAGCCGCCGUAA